CCGGCUAAUAUACUCUUAUGAGUAUAGCCCAUUUUGUACUCAUUAAGUUUUUUGCCGUUAAAUCUAGUUCUUUGAUCAUUUCCACCCAUUAGAUCAUACUAUUCAACCAACCACCCACUCAAACGUAAGGGACUAUUAUUAAUCUAACCGAGAACCACUAUCAUCCUAACCGCACAUCUUUUCAUCCAAUGGUCGAAAACUUAUGAGUUCAAAGGGGCUAUACUCAUAAGAGUAUAGUAGCCCUAGCCUAUAUAUAUAUAUA
RNAcentral lists this long non-coding RNA (262 nucleotides) under Ananas comosus (pineapple). RNAcentral describes it as "long non-coding RNA (ACOM_LNC019594)". Lineage: Eukaryota; Viridiplantae; Streptophyta; Magnoliopsida; Poales; Bromeliaceae. The record is from RNAcentral.